This 520-nucleotide ribosomal RNA is filed under the name uncultured Glomus. Its description in RNAcentral is "SSU rRNA". It matches the Rfam family "Eukaryotic small subunit ribosomal RNA", at positions 569 to 1091 of the family's 1831-position model. Lineage: Eukaryota; Fungi; Glomeromycota; Glomeromycetes; Glomerales; Glomeraceae. The record is from RNAcentral.
AGCAGCCGCGGUAAUUCCAGCUCCAAUAGCGUAUAUUAAAGUUGUUGCAGUUAAAAAGCUCGUAGUUGAAUUUCGGGGUCAGUAGAUUGGUCGUGCCACUGGUAUGUACUGGUCUUACUGGCUCCUCCUUCCUGAUGAACCGUAAUGCCAUUAAUUUGGUGUUGCGGGGAGACUGGACUGUUACUUUGAAAAAUUAGAGUGUUUAAAGCAGGCUAACGCUUGAAUACAUUAGCAUGGAAUAAUGAAAUAGGACGUUCGAUCUUAUUUUGUUGGUUUCUAAGAUUGACGUAAUGAUUAAUAGGGAUAGUUGGGGGCAUUAGUAUUCAAUUGUCAGAGGUGAAAUUCUUGGAUUUAUUGAAGACUAACUACUGCGAAAGCAUUUGCCAAGGAUGUUUUCAUUAAUCAAGAACGAAAGUUAGGGGAUCGAAGACGAUCAGAUACCGUCGUAGUCUUAACCAUAAACUAUGCCGACUAGGGAUCGGAUGAUGUUAAUUUUUAAUGUACUCAUUCGGCGCCUUAA